This is a long non-coding RNA of Salvia hispanica, 1041 nucleotides long. RefSeq lists it as uncharacterized. The record is from RefSeq and is a predicted model, not a curated record. Lineage: Eukaryota; Viridiplantae; Streptophyta; Magnoliopsida; Lamiales; Lamiaceae.
CUUUCUGACUUCUAUUACUUAUCUUGAUUCGCGGUUUUUAUUUGGCAAGGCUAGGUAGAAAUGAUUCAUGACUAUUAGUGAUGUUCAAGCUUGAUAUUGUGAGAGUUCGAUUAUUGUCCAUUAAAUUGGUUUGUAGCAGAGGCUUUAUGUUGGUUCUUGGCAGAAAAAUUUAGUUAAACUGGAAUAAAUCUUUACAUAGAUAUGCUACACUACUCCUUCCUGACUGUAAUAGUUUGGCUAAGGCAUUGGCUCAUGAAGAUCAUAUCCUUGGCUAUUGGUGUUGUUCCUAUGACUUCCUAAGUGAUCCUACAUUUGUGAUUCUAAGUUCUAGAAUUGAUCAUGUGGUUGUUCUAUAUGAUGGCAUGAAAAUGAUUGGGAGAAAGGGGGUGGAGGUGCUUACCUCUCGGUAUCACGGCUGCUUCGAGAAAAUCUGCUUUUGGUCUCGGUUUUCCUCCCUCUCAAGCUUGCUACUGCUUGUUCUUAGUUUUCACUAGAGUUUUGCUGAAAUUUGUGAUGUGUAGGAGGGUGUUCAAAGGUGGUGUGGGGGGGGCUUUUUAUGGCUGAACUCUUGAUGUACUAUGGGGGGGAUUAAUUGGGGUUGUUACUCUAUUUUGUUCCCAUCUUGCAGAGGAUCUCCUUUGUCUAUGAUUCUGCAGUAGGAUACACUUGAGAGAUGGCUUUAUUUGAGUACUUUGUACAUGGAUAUUAAUUGUUACUUGUUUGAUGUGGCUGUGAGAACAGGUGCUGCAUCGGUGAGGGCUUGCAGGCUGGACUUGCCCCUUUUUGGGUAAGUCCUUGGUCUUCAUAGGGAAAGAAGGUGAGAGAGAAAUCUCGGCUGCUACCUGGCUGCACCGCGAGCGGGCCUGGAGUUGAUGUCUGGGCCGACGGCUGCUCGAAACGGGCCCUAAAUUGGGCCUGGAGAAAAGGCCCGAAAUGCACUCCAUAUUUUUUUCAUUUUCCUUUCCUUGUUUAUCUUUCUUUGGGGACUUAAUCCGUGUAAUCUAUUUUAUUAGUUGUUCAUUAAUUAAGCUUUGUUCCCAA